This 489-nucleotide ribosomal RNA is filed under the name uncultured bacterium. RNAcentral's name for it is "partial 16S ribosomal RNA". It matches the Rfam family "Bacterial small subunit ribosomal RNA", at positions 30 to 507 of the family's 1533-position model. The record is from RNAcentral.
UUGAACGCUGGCGGCAUGCCUUACACAUGCAAGUCGAACGGCAGCAUGAUCUAGCUUGCUAGAUUGAUGGCGAGUGGCGAACGGGUGAGUAAUACAUCGGAACGUGCCCUGUAGUGGGGGAUAACUAGUCGAAAGAUUAGCUAAUACCGCAUACGACCUGAGGGUGCAAGUGGGGGACCGCAAGGCCUCAUGCUAUAGGAGCGGCCGAUGUCUGAUUAGCUAGUUGGUGAGGUAAAGGCUCACCAAGGCGACGAUCAGUAGCUGGUCUGAGAGGACGAUCAGCCACACUGGGACUGAGACACGGCCCAGACUCCUACGGGAGGCAGCAGUGGGGAAUUUUGGACAAUGGGCGAAAGCCUGAUCCAGCAAUGCCGCGUGUGUGAAGAAGGCCUUCGGGUUGUAAAGCACUUUUGUCCGGAAAGAAAUGGCUCUGGUUAAUACCUGGGGUCGAUGACGGUACCGGAAGAAUAAGGACCGGCUAACUACGUG